UUUGAUUAUUAAUUAGUAUUAAAAAUGAUGUACAUUGUGUGAUUAUUGCCAUCAUGUGAACUAUAAUUAGUUUGUUCAUAUUUCCAUGUUAUUGUCAUUCAUUGAUGCAACAUUUUAUUCAUAAAUUGUUAUUUUAUGCUCUAUAUUAUUAUCCCAUUUCAUUUCAUCACUACGAAAGUUGCGUUCAAUUUGUAUAUACCCCUAAUAAAC
This 210-nucleotide long non-coding RNA is filed under the name Gossypium barbadense (sea-island cotton). RNAcentral's name for it is "long non-coding RNA (GBAR_LNC020106)". The record is from RNAcentral. Lineage: Eukaryota; Viridiplantae; Streptophyta; Magnoliopsida; Malvales; Malvaceae.